GAGUUUGAUCAUGGCUCAGAUUGAACGCUAGCGGGAUGCCUUACACAUGCAAGUCGAACGGCAGCACGGACUUCGGUCUGGUGGCGAGUGGCGAACGGGUGAGUAAUGUAUCGGAACGUGCCUAGUAGCGGGGGGAUAACUACGCGAAAGCGUAGCUAAUACCGCAUACGCCCUACGGGGGAAAGCAGGGGAUCGCAAGACCUUGCACUAUUAGAGCGGCCGAUAUCGGAUUAGCUAGUUGGUGGGGUAACGGCUCACCAAGGCGACGAUCCGUAGCUGGUUUGAGAGGACGACCAGCCACACUGGGACUGAGACACGGCCCAGACUCCUACGGGAGGCAGCAGUGGGGAAUUUUGGACAAUGGGGGAAACCCUGAUCCAGCCAUCCCGCGUGUGCGAUGAAGGCCUCGGUGU
This 413-nucleotide ribosomal RNA is filed under the name uncultured microorganism. RNAcentral's name for it is "bacterial SSU rRNA". It matches the Rfam family "Bacterial small subunit ribosomal RNA", at positions 9 to 423 of the family's 1533-position model. The record is from RNAcentral.